RNAcentral lists this ribosomal RNA (524 nucleotides) under Thalassospira sp. RNAcentral describes it as "bacterial SSU rRNA". It matches the Rfam family "Bacterial small subunit ribosomal RNA", at positions 33 to 596 of the family's 1533-position model. The record is from RNAcentral. Lineage: Bacteria; Pseudomonadati; Pseudomonadota; Alphaproteobacteria; Rhodospirillales; Thalassospiraceae.
GUGCAUGGCGGCAGCUACCAUGCAAGUCGUACGAGAAGGUUCCUUCGGGAACUGGAGAGUGGCGCACGGGUGAGUAACGCGUGGGGACCUACCUCUUAGUGGGGGAUAACGGUUGGAAACGACCGCUAAUACCGCAUACGCCCUUCGGGGGAAAGAUUUAUCGCUAAGAGAUGGACCCGCGUUGGAUUAGAUAGUUGGUGAGGUAACGGCUCACCAAGUCAGCGAUCCAUAGCUGGUUUGAGAGGAUGAUCAGCCACACUGGGACUGAGACACGGCCCAGACUCCUACGGGAGGCAGCAGUGGGGAAUAUUGGACAAUGGGCGCAAGCCUGAUCCAGCCAUGCCGCGUGAGUGAAGAAGGCCUUCGGGUUGUAAAGCUCUUUCAGAUGCGAAGAUGAUGACGGUAACAUCAGAAGAAGCCCCGGCUAAUUUCGUGCCAGCAGCCGCGGUAAUACGAAAGGGGCAAGCGUUGUUCGGAUUUACUGGGCGUAAAGGGCACGCAGGCGGUCCUGCCAGUCAGGGGUG